RNAcentral lists this ribosomal RNA (253 nucleotides) under uncultured bacterium. RNAcentral's name for it is "partial 16S ribosomal RNA". It matches the Rfam family "Bacterial small subunit ribosomal RNA", at positions 524 to 776 of the family's 1533-position model. The record is from RNAcentral.
UACGUAGGGUGCAAGCGUUGUCCGGAAUUAUUGGGCGUAAAGAGCUCGUAGGCGGUCUGUCGCGUCGGCUGUGAAAACUCGGGGCUCAACCGCAGGCCUGCAGUCGAUACGGGCAGACUAGAGUGCUGUAGGGGAGACUGGAAUUCCUGGUGUAGCGGUGAAAUGCGCAGAUAUCAGGAGGAACACCGGUGGCGAAGGCGGGUCUCUGGGCAGUAACUGACGCUGAGGAGCGAAAGCGUGGGGAGCGAAUAGG